RNAcentral lists this ribosomal RNA (494 nucleotides) under uncultured bacterium. RNAcentral's name for it is "partial 16S ribosomal RNA". It matches the Rfam family "Bacterial small subunit ribosomal RNA", at positions 28 to 507 of the family's 1533-position model. The record is from RNAcentral.
GACGAACGCUGGCGGCGUGCUUAACACAUGCAAGUCGAACGGAAAGGCCUGCUUUCCCUUGUGGAUUGCGGGUACUCGAGUGGCGAACGGGUGAGUAACACGUGAGUGAUCUGCCCCCAACUUGGGUAUAAGCCUGGGAAACUGGGUCUAAUUCCCGAUAGGACUGCAGGGUGGUGCCUGUGGUGGAAAACGAUUUUCUAGUGGUUGGGGAUGAGCUCGCGGCCUAUCAGCUUGUUGGUGGGGUAAUGGCCUACCAAGGCGGCGACGGGUAGCCGGCCUGAGAGGGUGGACGGCCACAUUGGGACUGAGAUACGGCCCAGACUCCGACGGGAGGCAGCAGUGGGGAAUAUUGCACAAUGGGCGGAAGCCUGAUGCAGCGACGCCGCGUGGGGGAUGACGGCCUUCGGGUAGUAAACUCCUUUCGACCGCGAGGAAGCCACCUGGUUGGAAGGGUGGUGACGGUAGUGGUAGAAGAAGCACCGGCUAACUACGUG